CUGCUUGCUUUGGCAGCACAUAAACUAAAAUUGGAAUGAUACAGAGAUUAGCAUGGCCCCUGUGCAAGGAUGACAUGCAAAUUUUUAAAGAGAGAAAAAGGAAA
Molecule: small nuclear RNA, 104 nt
Filed under: Jaculus jaculus (lesser Egyptian jerboa)
Lineage: Eukaryota; Metazoa; Chordata; Mammalia; Rodentia; Dipodidae
Source: RNAcentral